CAGCCUUUGCAGGGCCUCCUGCUCCUGAGCCUCAUUUACAGCCGAGGGAGCCGUCCCCACGCCUGCCCGGCACCGAGGCCCAGCUCUCCCCGGCAUGGGCACUGGCUGGAACAUGCUACCCGACUUGGCCGGAAGGUCUCUUCAGUGUUUAUUUUUGGUGCCGGGGAGGGCGAGGACACGGAACACAGGGAGGUGGCCUGACUUGCCCAGGUGACCCCAGGAACCCGCUCCCCUUGCUGCUCUGGGCUCUGGGGCCACAUAGGGAGGCAGCCUGCAGGGCCCCUGCCCCAGAGAAAGGUCAGACCCUAGGCUCAGUGCGAGCUGCAGGAGCCAAGCCGACCUGGGUUCAAAUCCCAGUCCGCUCGCUCCUUCGGGGCCCACAGCUCAUUCCUCAUCCGUGAGUGGGGCGCACAUGCGAUGCUGCUGCCUCUCAGAAGGGCCGGAGCACCCAGUGAGGACCACACUCCAACUCGGGGCCAGGCUUGGGGCUGGAGCUCAGCAAAUAUCCCCUCAGCCCUCCUUUCCUGCACUGACAUGUGAAGGGGACAGCUCAGCGGUGCAGACAGGCCUCGAGAGAGGGAAGGGGACAGCUCAGCGGUGCAGACAGGCCUGGAGAGAGGGAGGUUCAGGUCCCAGCCCUGCCUCUGACCUACUCUGAACCUCAGUAUCUUCAUCUGCCUCUUAUGGCUGCUGUGCUGUGCAUGAGACCCCAGAGGGCUCUCUUGCCCCUUCUGCCAUGUGAGGACACAGCGAGAAGAUGGCUGUCUGUGAACCAGGAAGUGGACCCUCACCAGACACGGAAUGCACUGGAGUCCUGCUCUUGGACUUCCCAGCCUGGAGAACUGUGAGAGACGAAUGCAGCUUGCAUGGCUUGCCAAGUGGUGCCAUGUUUAUACCUGGGAUCCGAACCCGUGAACCCCCGGACACUGAAGCAGAAUGUGUGCACUCAACUGCUGCGUCCCCGGGCCGGCCACACAUUUAUUCUUAAAUAAUUAGCCCUGAGCUAACUGCUGCCAAUCCUCCUCUUUUUGCUGAGGAAGACUGGCCCUGAGCUAACAUCCAUGCCCAUCCUCCUCUACUUUAUAUGUGGGACACCUGCCACAGCAUGGCUUUUGCCAAGUGGGGCCAUGUCCGCACCCAGGAUCCGAACCAGCGAACCCCGGGCCACCGAAGCGGAACUUGUGCACUUAACCGCUGUGCCACCGGGCCGGCCCCUGAUAAAGCUUUUGAUUUUGAUCUUUUUCCAGAUAAAGAAGGACAAUUUAUAUUUGUCUCCCUCUCUUCCUCUUAGUUGGGUCAAAUCACUUCUAAACUACCAGUUGGCCUUUGUGAGAGGUGACUUGAUUUCUUAUUUUAAAACUAUUUAUAUUAUGGAAACUUUUCAAUAUAGACAAAACUACAGAACCAUAUAAAAUGAACCCCCACGUACCCAUCAACCAGCUCAGAUAUACACCAAAUCAAUAUAUUUAUCUCCAUUUGUUCUCCCAUCCAAUAGUAUUUUGAAGAAGCUCUCAUCCGUCAUAUAAAUUAAUCCCUAAAUAUUUAAGAAGUAUCUCUAAAAGAAAAGGACUAAAAAGAAACCCAAUUCCCAUUACUGUCCUAUAACAAUAAUUUCCUAGCAUCAUCAAGUGUCAUCUUUUACAAUUUGCUUGUUUGAGUGAGGAUCUAAAUAAGGCCUGUGAGAGUGUAUAAUUGGCCAACGUCUCUUAAGUCUCGUUCAGACUACAUUUAUAUUAGUACAGGCUCCUACUCUUUCUCUUUUAUUUUCCUUGCAAUUUGAUGAAGAAACCAGGUCCUUUGUCCUUCAUAUAAAAAUAUUUUAUUUGAUGGGAUUAUAUAGAUAAUAUUCUUUAGCAAUAUAUGUUGGCCGUCUUUCCUCUUAGUACCUAUAAGUCAAUUUUUGGUUUUUAGCUGGUGCACAGAACUCCAUAGUUACUAUUUUUUAAAAUGUCUUAUCUCCUCUACUUACCUACAUGAGCCUUGGAGGAGAUAAUUCACUCAGCAAACAUUUAAUGAGCACCUAGUCUCUGCUAGGCCCCAUGCCCGAUCCUGAGAGCUGUAGUAGGAAUAAGCCAGACAGGUUCCCGAAGCUUCAACUCAGACUUUCAUGGUCUGCAGCAUGUUUGAAGAGACCUUGUUAAAUGCAGGUCCCAGGGCCCCCUCCCAGACGGGCUGUCUCUCUCGUCUAGCACUGUCCUGUACAAAUGCGUGUCAAUUUACAUUUUCUAGUAAUUAUGUAAAAAGAUA
This 2247-nucleotide long non-coding RNA is filed under the name Equus caballus (horse). RNAcentral describes it as "lncRNA (ENSECAG00000056180.1)". The record is from RNAcentral. Lineage: Eukaryota; Metazoa; Chordata; Mammalia; Perissodactyla; Equidae.